RNAcentral lists this unclassified non-coding RNA (335 nucleotides) under soil metagenome. RNAcentral's name for it is "partial contains 5.8S ribosomal RNA, internal transcribed spacer 2, and large subunit ribosomal RNA". The stretch from base 1 to 120 matches the Rfam family "5.8S ribosomal RNA", at positions 35 to 154 of the family's 154-position model. The record is from RNAcentral.
GAUGAAGAACGCAGCGAAAUGCGAUAAGUAAUGUGAAUUGCAGAAUUCAGUGAAUCAUCGAAUCUUUGAACGCACAUUGCGCCCGCCAGUAUUCUGGCGGGCAUGCCUGUUCGAGCGUCAUUUCAACCAUCAAGCCCCCGGGCUUGUGUUGGGGACCUGCGGCUGCCGCAGGCCCUGAAAACCAGUGGCGGGCUCGCUAGUCACUCCGAGCGUAGUAGUUACAUCUCGCUCAGGGCGUGCUGCGGGUUCCGGCCGUUAAAAGCCUUUUACCCCAAGGUUGACCUCGGAUCAGGUAGGAAGACCCGCUGAACUUAAGAAUAUCAAUAAGCGGAGGA